This is a long non-coding RNA of Mirounga angustirostris (Northern elephant seal), 416 nucleotides long. RefSeq lists it as uncharacterized. The transcript is spliced from 2 exons. NCBI's taxonomy places the organism in Eukaryota, Metazoa, Chordata, Mammalia, Carnivora, Phocidae. The record is from RefSeq and is a predicted model, not a curated record.
CGAGCUCGGUUGCUGCAGUCUGCGGCGCAUGGCCGCCAGGGCUUGGGCGGGGGCGGGCGCAGGUUCGGAAAGCAACCAACAUGGGAACGGGAAAGCAGGCUUGCCUUAAUUUGGACGAACCCUAAGACUUAAGAAGUCUGUACAGUUUUAAAGACGAAGCACCAUGAGAUGCAGAAAUUUCUGGUCCGGAUAGCUCAGCUGAUUAUUUUCAUGUUGCCACAAUUUGUCAAAUGUGGACAUGAUAACUGAAGUUCAACCAUCUUAUGACAAUAAAGUGAACCUAAACCAUUGCUAAGGAUGAAGGAAGAUAGAGUCUAGGUCCCUGAUGACAUUGUGGAGCUGCCACACAAGUCCAGGAUUGCCUACCUCUGGACUUCUCAUUAUGGGAGAAAAUAAAACAAUUUGUUUAAGUCACA